This is a long non-coding RNA of Perca flavescens (yellow perch), 102 nucleotides long. RefSeq lists it as uncharacterized. The transcript has 3 exons. The record is from RefSeq and is a predicted model, not a curated record. NCBI's taxonomy places the organism in Eukaryota, Metazoa, Chordata, Actinopteri, Perciformes, Percidae.
AGUGGCAACAUGUGCAAACUCACUCUAACUGCAGGUCUCUGUUUGAUCAUCGCCAGCUUGGGUUAUCCUGGCCUCACGGAUACAGCUGCAGUGCCGCCAAAC